RNAcentral lists this ribosomal RNA (1267 nucleotides) under Tanaisia valida. RNAcentral's name for it is "partial 28S ribosomal RNA". It matches the Rfam family "Eukaryotic large subunit ribosomal RNA", at positions 101 to 940 of the family's 3401-position model. Lineage: Eukaryota; Metazoa; Platyhelminthes; Trematoda; Plagiorchiida; Eucotylidae. The record is from RNAcentral.
GAAAGAGCCUGCCCGGAACCUUCGUUCCAUUCGUUCCUUUGCCAAUUGGGGGUUCAGGUCAAUCCGGAGGAGCCUUGGUCCCACCUUAAGUCCAGCAAUGAAUUCCGGUGGUAGAACAUGCCCCCUAGAGGGGGAAAGGCCCGUAGGGGUGAAGUUCCGGCAAGUCAAGGUUUCUCAGGGUAGACCCUGGAGUCCGGUUUGUUUUGAAUGCAGCCCAAAGUGGGUGGUGGACUCCCUCCCAGGGCUAAAAACUUGCCAGGAUUCCGAUAGGGAACAAGUACCCGGAAGGGAAAGUUGAAAAGUCUUUGAAAAGGGGGUAAACCGCAGGUAAACCCGUUUAGAGUAAACGUGUGGAGGUGGAAUGCAGCCCCGAGAAUGCAAGCGGAGAAUCUGCUUAGACUUGGUUAAAUCGGUUGAGCUCAGUAGUCUGCGUACUUGCAGGCCUUCGCCUUCUUGGCGAAGUUUCACGAGGCACUUAUCAAGUAUUACGCGCCUCCGGUGCUUUUCGAACUGAUUUGCCGUUGCAUCUUCUCGGCGUGAUCACCACGACUGGCAUUGGAGCCUGGCUGACAUAGUCAAACCUGUCUUGAUUAGUCCAUGUGACUUCGAUUGACCGCGAUUACAGGUAGCUAGUUAGCUGGCUUGUGGUUCGCUGCAGGGUUCGGCUUUAGAGCGUAAUAAGCUGAUUAGAUCGGUUAUGUGCAGUGUGUAGAAAAAGUCGAAUAGUACUGUAAACAUGUGAACCUGAAGCACUUGCGUAUAUAGUUUCGCAUGGUUUUGAGUAGUCACUCAGGCCGAUCGGCUUCCCAGAGGCGUCUGUAAACGCUUUCGUGUCGGACACUAGAUUCAAGGCGGAUUGUCACAGCCCUAGUGGUGUAUUAUCCACGGGGGCGGUCUUGGGCCACGCCACACGGAGGGUCGCACUUCGGCGCGUCAGGGGGCAUAACGAAACCAAAUGACGCGUCGAAAGUAAAGGCCCACUUCGUCAAGUAUGAGGUGAGAUCGUGGGGUUUGCUCACACGUGGCACCAGCGAAAUAAAAGCGACGGGGGGAUCGCCGGGCGGGGCGCACCAUCGACCGAUCGGGAAGUUUUCGGACGGAUUGGAGUAAGAGCGUAGAUGUUGGGACCCGAAAGAUGGUGAACUAUGCCUGAAUAGGGUGAAGCCCGGAGGAAACUCUGGGUGGAGGAUUGCGGCGGUUUAGACGUCGAAAUAAAUCGUGGAAGAAGGUCACUGUGCCGGAGAAUAUUCCCUCUAGAUAACCGGAU